Molecule: small RNA, 672 nt
Filed under: Histoplasma capsulatum var. duboisii H88
Lineage: Eukaryota; Fungi; Ascomycota; Eurotiomycetes; Onygenales; Ajellomycetaceae
Description: Histoplasma capsulatum H88 hypothetical RNA
Source: RNAcentral
GGUGACGUUUGGUUGCGAUUCCGGAUAAUAUAUUUUCCGAAACUCAAUAUAAUUUGAAAUUUGUACAGUAGAGACCGAGCCCGAAAAUGGUUUGCCUGCUUCAAUUACCACACUUGGUGUGAUUUUUUCCAACCCACUAUGGGGCGCGGCUCCAGGUGAUUUGCUCUUCCCGAUAACUGUCACGGUCUGCACCAGUUGCCAGCGGCGUCUCAGAGGUCCAGCUCCAAAUCUCUACGCUUUGACUAGCAUGUCGCCUUCCACGCAUGAGGAUUCUCUUCCUCCGAAGUCCUUGUUCAAUGAUCUGGUGCAAAAGAUGGCAACCGAGAUACCCAAAAACCUGAAGGCUGUGUAUUACCAGAUUACAAACAGAGUUAGCUGCCAUUGUUAUUGAGAACCGGUGCAGACGAUUGAGUCUCUUUUCGAUGUAGAUUAGAGCCGAGAGAGACUGCGAGUAGCCUUGAAAUCAUGGCUGACGGAGGCAGUUCGGCGGCUUGCCGAACCCAACUGAAGUGGUGAGGGCAGACUCAAGGAAAUAUAUUAUGUCUUUCCAUUUUUCGACAGCUGCAUACUUAUAUAUGUAGAGCACUAAGAAAGAACAACCUCAAUGAAACCCCACGAACUCAUAUAUGAGGUAGCUCUACAAGUAAACUCUUACUCCUGUGGUAGAAGCCA